RNAcentral lists this ribosomal RNA (140 nucleotides) under uncultured eukaryote. Its description in RNAcentral is "partial 18S ribosomal RNA". It matches the Rfam family "Eukaryotic small subunit ribosomal RNA", at positions 1299 to 1458 of the family's 1831-position model. The record is from RNAcentral.
UGGUGGAGUGAUUUGUCUGGUUAAUUCCGUUAACGAACGAGACCUCAGCCUACUAAAUAGUCGUACAAAUUCUGAAUUUGUAGCUUGACUUCUUAGAGGGACUAUUGGCGUUUAGCCAAUGGAAGUUUGAGGCAAUAACA